This 4116-nucleotide long non-coding RNA is filed under the name Gallus gallus (chicken). Its description in RNAcentral is "lncRNA (ENSGALG00010023129.1)". The record is from RNAcentral. Lineage: Eukaryota; Metazoa; Chordata; Aves; Galliformes; Phasianidae.
CUGAGUGAAAGCCCUCUGGAAAGAGCAAGAGAUGCACGGAGGUGCCGGGGUUCCUUAGAAGCCCCUUUGCUGCUUCCCGCUGAGAAGUUUGGGGCAGAUCUCAAAAUGCGAACACGUUCUUAAGCUCUGUUGGGGGUGAUGGGAUAUCAGCCUGGUUGUGUGCUCUGCAGCUCACACGUGUUUGCCAGCCUCCACCCAGAGCUGGUUAAAAUUGCAGGCAGGAGGAGCAGAAGAUGUGAGGGUUAAGCACUGGGAAGGUAGAGCCGCCCUCCCCCCUUCUUCAUAACGUCUGUGGGGUGGGAGGAUUGAAAAGCUCUUAAUGAUGCAGAGCUGUGGUUUGAAACCAGAGAUUCGGUGUAUGAAUUUUUUAUAGGUCUUGUGACUGGAAGUUGAAAUGCCUGGGUGUUUAACAGAGCAUUUCUAUAGAAAUACCAGAGAGGUCAUUGGGACAGAACUGCAUCUGCCCUGUUACAGGCCUUUACCAUGGCUAAUGUGGGCAUAUGCAAUAAGAAAAUGUUGAAUUUGCAACUAAAUGGCUUUACAGGAAUGGAAUAAUAUAUUCAGAGAGGCAAUAACAGCUUUAGUUUGGGGUCAGGAGGAACAUCAGAUAAACGUUCAUUUGAGCUUUUUCCUCUGUUAAGCAAGCAGAAGAGAAAAACUGGCACAUUUGAUGCACCUGGUGGCAGCUUAAGGGUCUGAAGCACUGAGCUCAGUAAUCGCUUUUAUCCUUUCCCAGGGACAUUUUUAUCGAGGGCUGUGUAAUCUCGGAGACACGUCAUGAACAAGAACUGGGAGGGUUUCAGCAUUUUCACUGAUGACGACAGAAUAUCAGAAUUAGCAGCAAAUAACGUUAACGUGGGUGCAAAAAACGUUGUGUAACGAAGAGUUUGGAAAGGUUUUCUAUUUAACCCUAGACAAUGCGACCAGUCGAAAAGCUACAAAGAUUGCUGGAAGUUGCACUGAUGACAGAUUGCUGUGGUACAUCCCUUCCUUUCAACUGUCCUGAGGGUUCUACCAUCGAGAGAGCACUACAGCUGUCUGGUCUGGUUCUGAAGAUCCGUGAGAAGAACAAAAAGAAAUACAGUGAUUAGGACUGCCUGCACUUCUGGCUUUGAACUCUGCCAAGCACAAGGUCGCCUACUUAUUAGGUGGUUCUUCAUUUUACUGGAGUGAACCUCAUUAAAAACACUGAAGCUUUAAAGCAUGUCAGACUUUCUUUGAUGCCACCUAGAUUGUCUUCUUUUCCCCCCAGUGUUUCUUCUGCCCUUUGAAGAAGCAGAUUGCAAUAUAGAAAGAGCUCACCCCCACCUCCCACUGCUCCCCACACGAAGGCUUCUUUCCAUCUGAUCUGUCGUCCAUCUCUCUUCUGCAUCAGUAUUCAUUUCCAGGUCCCUCAAGUACAGUUCAGAUGGGCGAUAUUCCUCUGCUCCCCACUUCACCAACUGCUAGCUAUUUUUAAUGAGGAUGACUGAGAAUUUGAGGGAUACCAGGGAUACUUUGACUGAUUGUGCCAUCUUUGCUGCAACAAGUAAAGCACUUGAGAUGGUUAUUAAUAGGGCCCAAAUAGUUCUGAUCAGAAUGUGUCAAAACAAAUGAUAAUGAGGGUUCAAAUGCCAAGGUUUAGUUUGGCCCUAACACAAAGCCAAUAUUUUGACUGAAGCUCAUCUUUAAUUAUCAUCAAAAGUACUUUAUACUUGUUUAAUCAAGAGCUUAACAUUUUGGAUGUAAAGGUGCUUUGGAUACUUACUUCAAGAGGCUCAUGUUCAAGCUUAGAGUAUCCUGUCUCUUAAUUAGGGAUUCUGUUGCUAUCUCACCAGACCCUGGCUUUUAUUAUGUCAUGAAACAAGAUCCUCCUCUUAGGAACUGUAGCUCUGAGAUAGCUUAUCCAAGAUUUAAAAUGAAAAAAAAAAAAAAAGUCAUUUUAAAUGUAGAUGUAACAAAUUCAGUCUUUUUAUAUUACCAGUAUCCAAGGCAAAUGGAAGAUUUCCUUUAUUUGCAGCCUGCCAUUGCAUUUUAAGUCCAGGAACUGCUCUUUAAUUCAGACACAAGUGAGAUUUGUCACACGUAUGCUCCUUCGUGCUGCAUCUGCUUCCCUGGCUUCUGGUUUUCAUGUAAAUGAUAGCUCUCUUAAUCUUCAGAAAGUGAAAAGUUUGGGAUUAUUGUUACCACAUUUGUCAUUUAGCACUCUCUCAUGCAACUUUCCUGUACAUUUUCUGAAAUAGUUUUGCCAUCCCUCAUAAGGCAGCCUCCCCAAGGCCCUCUUACCUGUUCCCACGUCAGCUCUCUUAGAGCUGAGGAUUGUUUUAGCUACUUCCCCUAAUACAUUUCAAGUUUAAUUACAUGAUGAUCAAUAUGUCUCAGAUGUGCCACAACCUCAGAUUUUAAUUUUUUUUUUAAUGCUUGGCUCUCUUCCUCAAUUAUUCCAAAUCAGCCCUUGGCUGACACAAGAAGCCUCAGUAAACUGCAUUAAAAACAAUUUCGAAUUUGUGGAAGGGCUCAACGUCUGAAGAGCUGAUGCACACUUUAGGGAUGAACUCGUCCAGAGCAGUAGGUUGGUUUGCUUUGCAUUGGCAGCAGGCAAGGGAACAGCAAAUAGAAACGUUAAUUCACCGUCUUGUUUCCGUUCCUCCCUGGUAACAGGGUUUUACAACCGACUUCCUGUGCCUGUAUUGAUUUUCUGGAGUCAAAGAACAAAAAGAUAGAGCAUGAGGACUCACGUGACCAGCCUUUAAGCAGGUAGCUUUAUCACAACACGUUCUUGCACAAACUCAAGCAGCGUAAGGACACGGCCUGAAGACUUUCAGUGACACUAAUAGUUGCAAACCUGUGUACACCCCAGCUUCAGAUUUGGGACUUUGGGAUCUUCUUUUCCUCUAACAUUGGGAUUAUCAGUAAAAAUAGUAGACAAAAACCUCUGGCAGUGCUGAGUUAAAUCUGUGUCCUUCACGUUCAGUUCCAAACUUCUGACGGAGAAAAGAAUUCAAAUCAUUCUUAACCAAAGGAUAAUUUUCCCAUUUUAGGACAGGCUUCAGUCAUGUACUGAAGGGCGGACCAUCUGAAAAGGCAGAAUUCAGAUCUGCAGGCUGACAGAAGGGAGGAACUUUGUCUGCUGCCCUCAGCACCUCAGCAAAUCACUUAUAAAUUCUACCCACCAACUGCAGUUCUUCCAACAGUUUUAGAAGCAUGGCUGUAAAACCACAGCUGCCCGAAGUGCUGCGUUAUGCACUUGUACUUGAAUUUACUUAUUGAGCUGUCUGUCUAGCAAAUGGAAAAACUGAAGUAAAUAUUUUCAAUAUGAAAUCUGAAACUUCUAUGAAUUAAGCCCCAAAGCAGCUUGGCUUCCUGAAUCAUUUCUGCAAAAAAAUUCUCAUCCAUACAAGGUUAUUUAAUCCAAGUCAAUACUAAGAAACUCAGAGAGAUGAAAACUGUCAUAUAAAAGUGAAACUGAAGUUCUUCGAGGGCUUCAUUUCCAUCCACUGUUGUUUUUAUUGGAAUGAGCAAAGCUUAGAAUAUGGUGAUAUAUAUAUAUAUUUUUUUUUUUUUGCCAAGAUUUUGACUUAACAGCUUCUGAUCAGCAGCAUUUUCUCAACAGCAUUUUUAUGAAGGAGCCCAUGUGUAUGGGAACAAGCAAUGCAUUUUCUGCCUUCAGUACUGUAGUCUAAUCAAGCCAGCUCAAAGGCAAACGCAGUCUUUCAAGCAGUCAGUAUAUUUUUGUAUUUGAAUGUAAUGUGUUGAAACUACUCAGAUUUAACAGGGAGCUGCAAAUGCAUGCACUGCCAACCACAUGAAUUAUAGCCCUUCUGGUUAUGGUGGGAUCGCUAUGUUUAUCACCAGCAUUGCUACAACCCUACACACUUCUGCUAUAGAAAAGGCAGGAUGCGUUAAACAAGGGACAUCUGCAAGGGCAAGAAACAGUCAGUAGAGUACUAAAACUGCACACUUACAGUUUUUAAGAGUUGAAAAGCCAAGCACACCUCCUUUCUGCCACAGCCUGCAUGCUUCUUCAUACUGUCUCAUACAAGUGGGAGUACUGUCAGUUCCUACUAGUCUGAGCGAGAAAACGCUACUUAUGUGGAAUGUAAUCAAUGCACAUCACGUACUAUGGCUAUAAUAAAG